Physcomitrium patens is the source of this 1532-nucleotide non-coding RNA. The record is from RefSeq and is a predicted model, not a curated record. NCBI's taxonomy places the organism in Eukaryota, Viridiplantae, Streptophyta, Bryopsida, Funariales, Funariaceae.
UUUGAUCACGUUUUGAAUCUCUCUAGAGGGCUGUAGGUUUCAUUGCAUAUUCUGAAGAAAUCAUCUCCGUUUCCGAGGGUACCCAUUUUCAUAUGUGUUUUUAUCUAGACGUGAAGUUGUAACAGAACUGCCUGAAGUUUGGCAAAAUAUUGUCGAGGGUGAGGGUGAGGAAAUUGUGGUAUAAGAAUGUUUCUUUGUCUCUGUGUCUCACAUCACAAGUAUUACACGUCAUGUCUGGUCCCUAUUGUCCCGCUUGCUCUCCUUCCAAUGUUCCUCGUCGUAUUUCCCCCUUAUGGCGGAGAUUGUAUUGUUGUUGAUAAACUAGAAGCAAUUCAACAGCUCAGUAAUCUUUAACCCAUGUCAUAAAAUGCAGCGGAUUUGACGUUUGCUGCUAGUGAUGGUCAUGAUGCCCUAGAACAUCUGACGAACAGUUACUCCGUAACAAUUUCUGCUCGGGGGAUUAUGUAUCAAAUUCUUGAAAGGGAAGACGUUGUACAGCAUUUGGAAGCCUACGGUUCUGCCAAUUCAUUUUCCAUGGCACUAGCAUACGAUCGUUUUGGGCUCUCUUACCUUGAUACAUCUCUUGUUCUUAAAGAGUUCAUGAACCAUGGAAGGAUAAAUGGGGUUUCUUACCCGCUUCAAUUUAUUCAACAUCUGCCUUGACCCUCGAGAGCCACUGUAUUUUGCUCCAGAAUAAGUCCAAGUAUAUUUAUUUUGUAAACAGAAUUUUUAACUCGUUGGCACAGAAAUAACCAGAAAUUUUUUCAUUUGUACUGGCCUCAGUAAUUCUGUUGUAGUUUCCUGCGGUCGUAAUGUUAUUUGCCACAGGAUCCUUCAUACUGGCGGUUUACUUUUUAAGGUGUAUGUUUUCAGGGACACCAUGACGUUCUUAGGUGUUCGUGGUCUGAUACAAGUGAAGGAGACCACGUUUCAGUGCGAAAUCUUUUGCAAGGGUUUUCUCUGCAGCAGCUACGAUUGAAGAGGCUGAUCCAGGCACGGAGGUCGCAGGUCGUAGUUGGACCAGGAAGACUAUCGAUGUCUUCUCUCAACAUCUCAAGCCUUAUUCACAAUCUCAAGAUUAUGUGAACUUGCAGUCGAGGGUUUGAACAUAAAUUUCUUUUCAAUUAUUCAAAUAUUCCCCGACCCGUGAUUCACUGACAUUUAUUGAAAGUCCCACAGACCUCACGUCUAAUCAUCCUCUGAUUGAAAAGGUUUUCAAGAAGGAUGGAGUAGUCACUAGUUGUUAACGUGGGGUCUGAAAUUAAUUUCCAAAGCGUUCAAAUGCAUCUGAUCGCUGGUCAAUUGUGUUUUUUGAUCACUCUCCAAUGACAUUUGCACAGGCAUAUCUAGCAGACUUUGCAGGGUUUUUUCUAUGGCUCUAAAAGCAUUCAUAAAUGAAGGCUGACUUUCUUAGAGAUAGAAAAGCAUAACGGAUUUCAUGCCUUUAAUCAAGGCCAAGGCAGAAUUGGGCUAUUGUCAGCUUUAUUGGUGCGACUGUACGCACCAUCUCAAUACUAGAAACCAAUUUUGAA